UACGUAGGGGGCAAGCGUUGUCCGGAUUUAUUGGGCGUAAAGAGCGUGUAGGCGGUUAUGCAGGUCCGCUGUGAAAACUGGAGGCUUAACCUCCAGACGUCGGUGGAAACCGUAUGACUAGAGUCCGGAAGAGGAGAGUGGAAUUCCUGGUGUAGCGGUGAAAUGCGCAGAUAUCAGGAAGAACACCCGUGGCGAAGGCGGCUCUCUGGGACGGUACUGACGCUGAGACGCGAAGGCGUGGGGAGCGAACAGG
Molecule: ribosomal RNA, 253 nt
Filed under: uncultured bacterium
Lineage: Bacteria
Description: partial 16S ribosomal RNA
Rfam family: Bacterial small subunit ribosomal RNA
Source: RNAcentral